Non-coding RNA from Cinara cedri, 253 nucleotides. The record is from the annotation of a GenBank genome assembly. Lineage: Eukaryota; Metazoa; Arthropoda; Insecta; Hemiptera; Aphididae.
GCCAAAACGUUGUCAGCCCAACUCAUCCUUCGACUUUUGAGCAUACCAACUACAUAAUAGAUAUAUUUGACCUGUUAUUAAAUAAUUUUCUCAGCUCUGCAUCCAGCAUUAUCCUACUCGGUGCACAGUGUUAGUAGCCCAAUCCUCCCUCUCCAUGUACCAUUCAUUACAACAACUAUAAGUGUUUGUUUAGUAAUUUUAUUUUGAAAUUUUCAGUCAAAUUACGAGAAAAAGCUUGAUAAAUUAUUGAAUA